UGCUCCUACGGGAGGCAGCAGUGGGGAAUAUUGCACAAUGGGCGAAAGCCUGAUGCAGCAACGCCGCGUGAGCGAUGAAGGCCUUCGGGUCGUAAAGCUCUGUCCUCAAGGAAGAUAAUGACGGUACUUGAGGAGGAAGCCCCGGCUAACUACGUGCCAGCAGCCGCGGUAAUACGUAGGGGGAGAGCGUGAUCCGGAAUUACUGGGCGUAAAUGGAGCGGAGGUGGUUUCUUAAGUCAGAGGUGAA
Molecule: ribosomal RNA, 247 nt
Filed under: uncultured bacterium
Lineage: Bacteria
Description: partial 16S ribosomal RNA
Rfam family: Bacterial small subunit ribosomal RNA
Source: RNAcentral